Non-coding RNA from Armillaria borealis, 95 nucleotides. Lineage: Eukaryota; Fungi; Basidiomycota; Agaricomycetes; Agaricales; Physalacriaceae. The record is from the annotation of a GenBank genome assembly.
UCCCUCUUAGCUCAGUUGGUAGAGCGCGUCACUAGUAUAGAAUUGUACUAUCAUGUAUCAUGACGAGGUCAGUCGUUCAAGUCGGCUAGAGGGAA